GAUGAACGCUGGCGGCGUGCCUAAUACAUGCAAGUCGAGCGAAUAGAUGAGGAUCUCUCUCCUCUGACGCUAGCGGCGGACGGGUGAUUCACACGUGGAUAACCGGCCGAUAAGACUGGGAUAACUUCGGGAAACCGGAUCUAACAUCGGUUCAGAUAUUGAACCGCAUGGUUCAAUAGAGAAAGACCGUUUUGCUGUCACUUAUAGAUGGAUCCGCGCCGCAUUAGCUAGUUGGUAAGGUAACGGCUUACCAAGGCAACGAUGCGUAGCCGACCUGAGAGGGUGAUCAGUCACACUGGAACUGAGACACGGUCCAGACUCCUACGGGAGGCAGCAGUAGGGAAUCUUCCGCAAUGGGCGAAAGCCUGACGGAGCAACGCCGCGUGAGUGAUGAAGGUCUUCGGAUCGUAAAACUCUGUUAUUAGGGAAGAACAAAUGUGUAAGUAACUAUGCAUGUCUUGACGGUACCUAAUCAGAAAGCAACGGCUAACUACGUG
Molecule: ribosomal RNA, 497 nt
Filed under: uncultured bacterium
Lineage: Bacteria
Description: partial 16S ribosomal RNA
Rfam family: Bacterial small subunit ribosomal RNA
Source: RNAcentral